RNAcentral lists this ribosomal RNA (254 nucleotides) under uncultured bacterium. RNAcentral describes it as "partial 16S ribosomal RNA". It matches the Rfam family "Bacterial small subunit ribosomal RNA", at positions 524 to 777 of the family's 1533-position model. The record is from RNAcentral.
UACGAAGGGGGCUAGCGUUGCUCGGAAUCACUGGGCGUAAAGCGCACGUAGGCGGAUUGUUAAGUCAGGGGUGAAAUCCUGGAGCUCAACUCCAGAACUGCCUUUGAUACUGGCGAUCUUGAGUCCGGGAGAGGUGAGUGGAACUGCGAGUGUAGAGGUGAAAUUCGUAGAUAUUCGCAAGAACACCAGUGGCGAAGGCGGCUCACUGGCCCGGUACUGACGCUGAUGUGCGAAAGCGUGGGGAGCAAACAGGG